GGGUUGUGAGGUUAAGCGACUAAGCGUACACGGUGGAUGCCCUGGCAGUCAGAGGCGAUGAAGGACGUGCUAAUCUGCGAUAAGCGUCGGUAAGGUGAUAUGAACCGUUAUAACCGGCGAUUUCCGAAUGGGGAAACCCAGUGUGUUUCGACACACUAUCAUUAACUGAAUCCAUAGGUUAAUGAGGCGAACCGGGGGAACUGAAACAUCUAAGUACCCCGAGGAAAAGAAAUCAACCGAGAUUCCCCCAGUAGCGGCGAGCGAACGGGGAGCAGCCCAGAGCCUGAAUCAGUGUGUGUGUUAGUGGAAGCGUCUGGAAAGGCGCGCGAUACAGGGUGACAGCCCCGUACACAAAAAUGCACAUAUUGUGAGCUCGAUGAGUAGGGCGGGACACGUGGUAUCCUGUCUGAAUAUGGGGGGACCAUCCUCCAAGGCUAAAUACUCCUGACUGACCGAUAGUGAACCAGUACCGUGAGGGAAAGGCGAAAAGAACCCCGGCGAGGGGAGUGAAAAAGAACCUGAAACCGUGUACGUACAAGCAGUGGGAGCACGCUUAGGCGUGUGACUGCGUACCUUUUGUAUAAUGGGUCAGCGACUUAUAUUCUGUAGCAAGGUUAACCGAAUAGGGGAGCCGAAGGGAAACCGAGUCUUAACUGGGCGUUAAGUUGCAGGGUAUAGACCCGAAACCCGGUGAUCUAGCCAUGGGCAGGUUGAAGGUUGGGUAACACUAACUGGAGGACCGAACCGACUAAUGUUGAAAAAUUAGCGGAUGACUUGUGGCUGGGGGUGAAAGGCCAAUCAAACCGGGAGAUAGCUGGUUCUCCCCGAAAGCUAUUUAGGUAGCGCCUCGUGAAUUCAUCUCCGGGGGUAGAGCACUGUUUCGGCAAGGGGGUCAUCCCGACUUACCAACCCGAUGCAAACUGCGAAUACCGGAGAAUGUUAUCACGGGAGACACACGGCGGGUGCUAACGUCCGUCGUGAAGAGGGAAACAACCCAGACCGCCAGCUAAGGUCCCAAAGUCAUGGUUAAGUGGGAAACGAUGUGGGAAGGCCCAGACAGCCAGGAUGUUGGCUUAGAAGCAGCCAUCAUUUAAAGAAAGCGUAAUAGCUCACUGGUCGAGUCGGCCUGCGCGGAAGAUGUAACGGGGCUAAACCAUGCACCGAAGCUGCGGCAGCGACGCUUAUGCGUUGUUGGGUAGGGGAGCGUUCUGUAAGCCUGUGAAGGUGUGCUGUGAGGCAUGCUGGAGGUAUCAGAAGUGCGAAUGCUGACAUAAGUAACGAUAAAGCGGGUGAAAAGCCCGCUCGCCGGAAGACCAAGGGUUCCUGUCCAACGUUAAUCGGGGCAGGGUGAGUCGACCCCUAAGGCGAGGCCGAAAGGCGUAGUCGAUGGGAAACAGGUUAAUAUUCCUGUACUUGGUGUUACUGCGAAGGGGGGACGGAGAAGGCUAUGUUGGCCGGGCGACGGUUGUCCCGGUUUAAGCGUGUAGGCUGGUUUUCCAGGCAAAUCCGGAAAAUCAAGGCUGAGGCGUGAUGACGAGGCACUACGGUGCUGAAGCAACAAAUGCCCUGCUUCCAGGAAAAGCCUCUAAGCAUCAGGUAACAUCAAAUCGUACCCCAAACCGACACAGGUGGUCAGGUAGAGAAUACCAAGGCGCUUGAGAGAACUCGGGUGAAGGAACUAGGCAAAAUGGUGCCGUAACUUCGGGAGAA
Molecule: ribosomal RNA, 1710 nt
Filed under: Escherichia coli
Lineage: Bacteria; Pseudomonadati; Pseudomonadota; Gammaproteobacteria; Enterobacterales; Enterobacteriaceae
Description: partial 23S ribosomal RNA
Rfam family: Bacterial large subunit ribosomal RNA
Source: RNAcentral